Molecule: long non-coding RNA, 298 nt
Organism: Gordionus sp. m RMFG-2023
Lineage: Eukaryota; Metazoa; Nematomorpha; Gordioida; Chordodea; Parachordodidae
Exons: 3
Source: RefSeq, a predicted model, not a curated record
UUUAUAUCCAAUCUCAUUUACAUCACCUUAUAAUUCACCCUCAGAUAGGGUAAGGCUGUUCUAAAAACAAAUUCACCCUCAGAUAGAGUCAAGGCCUGUUCUGCGGACAACAGAGGCUGCAACAAUACCUCGUUCAACCUCCUAUUCCAUUAAAAUGUAAUUAAAUAACUAUUUGGAAGCAAUUAAAAUUUUUUAUAGCCAAUCCCAUUUCAUCACCUUGCAAUUCCCUCUCAGAUAGGGUCAGGGCCUCUUCUGCUGACACCAUAGGCCCAAUAAAUGUAUUGUUUAAUGUAGACGG